CGUGCGGGAAGAAGGCCUUCGGGUUGUAAACCGCUUUUGGUCGGGAAGAAAGGUUCGUCCUAAUAGGGCGGAUUGUUGACGGUACCGGCAGAAUAAGCACCGGCUAACUACGUAC
This 115-nucleotide ribosomal RNA is filed under the name uncultured bacterium. RNAcentral's name for it is "partial 16S ribosomal RNA". It matches the Rfam family "Bacterial small subunit ribosomal RNA", at positions 400 to 508 of the family's 1533-position model. The record is from RNAcentral.